This is a long non-coding RNA of Zingiber officinale, 2571 nucleotides long. RefSeq lists it as uncharacterized. The transcript has 3 exons. Lineage: Eukaryota; Viridiplantae; Streptophyta; Magnoliopsida; Zingiberales; Zingiberaceae. The record is from RefSeq and is a predicted model, not a curated record.
GAUGGAGUUAUAAAGGGUGGCAAGUAUAAGCCUUUUGCACGAGCGGUGUAGCUAGCUUGGAGAUCAUGCAAUGGUGGGUCGGUUGGACAGAUUGAAGAGGAUCGAUGGUGUUGUCUUGAAGCCGGAAAUAGAAGAACAAGAUUAAAGUUUCAAGCAGGGAUGACUCAGAUUAAAGCAAGAAGUGUACCUGGAUCUAUUUUUUCGUAAGUUGCUGCAAAGGACAAGAACGAGAGCCAAGAGGCAAAGUUAUCUGUUGGUUAUCCUACAGAAAGCUAUGCAGGUGCAAACAAUUAACAGUUUCAAUGUGGUGGCAGUCAAAGAUUGUUGGUUGUGGACAGUUCAUUGAGUCUAAGAAGAAACAAGGAAGUUGUCGAUCUGUGAGCAAGGGACCUGUCGUAUAGAAUUCCUUCUAAAGAAGAGUGAAAGUUAAUGACCAAUUAGGCAAGGGAAAGAGAUCAAAAAUUUAUUAUUGCGUAAUGCUUUUAAUUAUUGUAGUAAAAAGAUGAUCAUCUCUCAUAACCGACUCUCACAGUCCGUCUGGAAUCAGCUUAUAGCCGCAAUACGAAUACAUAAGGCUUUUAAUGCUACACAGACUGAUGGAAUGAAGGAAUAUAUUUAGCGAUGCCACAUUCCAUUUCUAUUCUGCAGUCCCCUUCAUUCCCUACCCACGUCUUGUUUAUUCAUUAAGUUGUUUUCUCUCGCUAGACUGUCUAACCUCUGUAUUUUAAUCGUUCCAACCUGUAUUCAGACACUCUAGUCAAUUUGUCAAAUUACGGCAAAAACAAAAACUCUUCAGAUAAUUGAGGCAUUUUCAUUUGCAUGGCACGUCAACAAAGAGUGAGCCGGCAGAAUCCUUGAAUUCUGAAGGAUGUUGAUUGUGGUGGCGUUGCACGUGCAACAAAGAUCCAGCAGCGGCAGUGUCACGCAGUACCCUCGAUUCGAGGUUGACUCGAACAGAACAUUUAUGAUCUCAUCCUGGUCAAACUUAUGUUUUUAGGUCCUUAAAGUCCAUCUAUCCUUAUUCUUCGCCUAGAUUUCUGAGCUCUGUCCCGUGGCGUCGGUGUCUUACUCGUCUAUAGUUUAAUUAAUCUUCAUUGACUUUGUCUCGCGCUUCUGUUCUCGUAAUUACGAUUUACAAUGUCGACUUUUGUCAAGCCCAGCAUGGUUAUGGGAGGGGCCUACGUGUGCCCGUGGUGCUACGUGCAUGCCCUCUGCGGAUUACGACGGAUAUGACUGACCCUAAGGACCGAUUGCGUAAAAGGCCUUUAUUUUACUUCUUUUUUUUUAAUCUUUUAUUACAUGAGCCACUGAUUCGUGUGCGAGUUUUAUAACUAACUGUUUCAUGUGUUAUUUUAGUUUUAUGAAGUUUGGUCGGGCGCUCGGGCAAGUGAUGAACUGGGCUGACUACUUGUCCAUUAGGCCUGAUUUCCAGCCCAAAAUUUGAUUUUGGUAAAUGUUCGAGUGGCAGAAUUUCAUUUUUUUUUAACAAAACAAAAAAAAAUCGACUGUGAUUUAACAUAUUAUUAGUGUAUUUGAACAUCAAGUCAAUUAUUUUUCAAAGAAUGGAGAGCUAUCACUGGUUUUAACAUCAACUUUCUUUCUAUUAGCAAUUUGGCACUGUUUAAUAGGAUUAAUCAAAGAGAAUAAUGGGCCAGCUCUUAUCAUUUUAACCUAUGAGAAUCUUCUCUAUCCUGAACACUGAUCAGAGUAAUCUCGGUAAGAUGCCUAAGAUGCCAUUUUAAUUUGUUUAAAUCUGUCAUCUCAAAUCACCUAUUAUAUGUUGAAUCCCAUGGUGGUGCGAUCUAACACGGGCAGAAUGAUAGUAUAAUAUUAUUUUAGCAAUGUUGAGGUUAGAGUUAGACUCUAUCUCUUUAAGAUGAAUUUACUCCGCAGACGGUGCUCAUAGAACACGACAAUCAUCUAUCAUGACUUUAUCUUAUGAUAGCAGCACUGCAAAUCGUAAGACCUCCAAACUAAAAAAAACCAUUUUAAACUCUCCAAAUACAAGUAUGGAAUCCAAUGCUUUGCUUUGAAUUGGAGUCAAUCAAAUGAGAAUAUGAGAGAUCUUAUUCAUACCAAAUGAAGGGGUAGAAGAACCUCUUGGUUUAAUUAGAUCUCAUCCAUCUAACUUAAAUCGGAUGAUCUAGAUCACAUCCCUUACCAAGGGACAUGAUGUCUCUUCAUUUGGAUACCUUCCUUUUGAAAUCAAUGGUUGAGAUUGAGCUAUCCGAAAGGGCACUUAUGUCUUCUCAUAUGGAUGAAUCAGACUUAUCAAUUUUGAUCCAAUGAUCUAGAUUUAAUUUCUCAUUCACAUCAAUUUUUCAACAAUCCCUCAUAUGAAUGAAAAUUAAUGAUGCAUGCAUGUUGACAUUAAAGGAGAGUUCAAUUGAAAGAUUAUUGCAUCAGGAGAGCUAGCUUGUCACUUUCAACUUUCCGUAGUAGAGUACCAUCGGAGCUGCUUAGUGAACGUGAUGUUUUGAACUACUCAGUUGUUCGUGUAAACCAAGACAAUGAUAAUACUUACACGAUAAUUAACAUUUCUCACUUCUUUAUAAUUCUCACUGUUUUAUC